GCCGUCGUCGCAUAGUGGUUAUUGCACCAGAUUGCUAAUCUGGGCCCUUCGGGGCUCCCCGGUUCGAAUCCGGGCGACGGCG
Molecule: transfer RNA, 82 nt
Filed under: Nanobdellota archaeon
Lineage: Archaea; Nanobdellati; Nanobdellota
Description: tRNA-Ser
Rfam family: tRNA
About the family: Transfer RNA (tRNA) molecules are approximately 80 nucleotides in length. Their secondary structure includes four short double-helical elements and three loops (D, anti-codon, and T loops).
Source: RNAcentral